GUCCCUGUAAUUUUAGAUUCCUCCACUUUUGGUCCCUCAUUUUAUGUCCCAUGUAUGCAAAUUCUGCUUACGUGGUGGAAUGAGGGACCAAAAGUGGAAGAAUCUGAAAUUAUGGGGAC
Molecule: microRNA precursor, 119 nt
Filed under: Medicago truncatula (barrel medic)
Lineage: Eukaryota; Viridiplantae; Streptophyta; Magnoliopsida; Fabales; Fabaceae
Description: miR5284e stem-loop (mtr-MIR5284e)
Rfam family: MIR5284 microRNA precursor family
Source: miRBase by way of RNAcentral